GAGAGACGUAAGGUCGGCGGAGAAUGCGCGGGUCGAGUGCUGUAGUUCGAUUUUUGCGUGUGUGCGUUGCUUGCGGCCUUUGUGCCUUUUUAUUCUUUGCUUACCUUUAUGAUAUAAAGACCUUAUUUCUUACAAGGAGGAAAAGACCGCUGACUUCAGAAACAGCGGGAACCCCAGCUCGUCCCCGGUAAUUCAAGAGGAAACGCUUGAGCAAUUACUGAUGUUGUAAACUGGGAUCAGAAGACAUACAUGGUAUCGUAUCCCAGGCAAGGCACAGUGGCUCACACCUGUAAUCCCAGCACUUUGGGAGGCUGAAGAAGGCAGAUCACUUGAGGUCAGGAGUUCGAGACCAGCCUGGCUUACAUGGUGAAACCCAUCUCUACUGAACAUACAAAAAUUAGCUGGACAUGAUGAAGUGGACAACAUCACUUCUUUCCACAUUUCAUUGACCAGAGCAAGUCAUGUGACCAAGCCUGAUUCAAAAUAGGCUGGAGCAAGGAGGAGCAGCAAACAUAACAUUCCCAGUUUACAGCUGAGGAAAUUAAGCUUCAAGUUGCCCAAGUUUAUAGAAUGAGUCAAUGGCAGAGGUUGAACUCAGAUGACAAAAUUGGGGUCUGGACGUGUGCAAGGACUUUUCCAAAGUCAGCUGGAAAGGAGCUGCUUAGCUGAGAGGUUCUGGCUCCAGAGUCUCCUGUGAAGUUGCAGUCAAGAUGUCUGCUGGGACCCCAGUCAUUUGAAGCCCUGUCUGGGGCAGGAGAAUCUAGGUCCAAAAUGGCCGUUGCAGGAGUCCUUAUCCACACCAUGUGGGACCUCUUCAUAGAUGUUCGAGUGUCCUCAUGGCAUGGCCACUGGCUUUCCCCAAAGUAAGCAGUCCAAAAGAGGACAAUCAACAAAACUGAAAAAGCCCAGCCUUGUAGCAUUUGCCAGUUAUUGUGUAAAUGUCCCCACUAUGGUGGAUUUCAGGUUACCACUAUGAUAUCACAGAAUGCAGAAUUGGAAGGAGAUUCACAGCAGCACCCCAUUAUACUAUAUUUUCACCAUACAGAUGCAGUCGAUGUAAAUUACCUGAGGAGCAUAAAUAAUAAUAAAAUGAAGUUAAAUAAUUCGGAAAUGAUUUUGAAAAUUGUGUUGGUUUUUAAUGUAAGUUUAUAUGUCAGCUUUAAUAAAAUCUGUCUUUAACAAC
RNAcentral lists this long non-coding RNA (1183 nucleotides) under Homo sapiens (human). RNAcentral's name for it is "HSALNT0374244". Lineage: Eukaryota; Metazoa; Chordata; Mammalia; Primates; Hominidae. The record is from RNAcentral.